RNAcentral lists this non-coding RNA (28 nucleotides) under Bombyx mori (domestic silkworm). The record is from RNAcentral. Lineage: Eukaryota; Metazoa; Arthropoda; Insecta; Lepidoptera; Bombycidae.
UCCUUUUCAGACGACAGCCAAUUAGGAC